CAGAGUUGGUUGGCUUUCAUAAUCGUGCCUGAUGAACACCUGUGUGCAUUUUCCUGCAUAUGUUUUGGGGCACCCUCAUCCAAUCAUCCCACGCAUAACAAUGUUGUUGGCUGGAUGUGGAUGUGGUGGUGUAUUGUAAAAGAAUUUAAACAGGGGCCAAGGGACUGCGUGUUAUACCACGACUUUAGAAAAGUACCUAUUGGCGGAUGGGGGUCUAGUGAUAUGACAUAGGCUAGGCACGACUGGUAGAUCACACAGCAAUGCUAACAGAAGAUUCCGGGAUCGAGAUAUGUCAGGGUCGGAAAUCCUACUGAUGGUGGAGGGUAAAAUUGCCCCUAGUCGAUGGACGGUGGUGACUUGGAAGAAAGUGAUUGUGCGAACUGACCAGAAAUGGAGUUAAGUCGUCGUUAAUCUGACAGAUUCCGUUGGAUGCCGGUGGUGGGUGCUGAACCUGAGCGAACCACUGAGAAGUUUACAAGGGCGAAUAGAUGAGGGUGCGCCGAAAUCCCGGGGAAAGCAGGGUCUGCCGGGUAGUGACUGCAGGGUUAACAUAUGACCCCCCUGUCCCACACAUCAUACUACACCGCGUGAGGGCCCCCGGCGGCCAGGAGGGCCCCGAUCGGAUCGACAAUUUGUUAAAUUGUUAUGCUGAUCAUAAUCCAUCUACGUUAGGCACUACUGGUAGAGCAUGCACCAAUGCCCCCGGAGAUUCCGGGUUCGAGACCUGUUCGGACCGAAUAUUUCUCCGGUAAUGGAAGGUAGCUGUGCUUCAAAUCGAUGGUUCCUGGUGACACGAGUGGAGUAACCUUAAGAGCUGACCAGGAAUGGUGUUGAGUCGCCAUUGAUCCGGUAGAUUCCAUGGAAUGCCGGUGGUAGGUGCGGAACUUGAGCGAUCCACUGAGAAGUUGACCAGGUGAGGGUGCCCCGAAAUACCGGGUCUGCCAGGUACCGGUCGCAGGGUGAAGAUAUGAUUCCCCUGUCGCACACAUCAUACUUGAAACCAUUAGCGGUGGUUGGCUGCCUUGGGAUAUGAAUUAGACGAAAAUGUACGGCUAAUUGGUUUUCUAUUGUCGUGAUGUCAUAGCAUCUGAUCGUAUAUUACUGCCAGGUAUAUGAUACGUGCAAUGGCCUGCUGUAGUAGCUGGCCGCUGAAAAGGCCUCUUGAUAUGCUGGUGGAGCGCUUAGCGCAUAUAUGUAUUUGUCAUGCGUGCCGUACUGUAUACCAGCUACUAUACCUGCCGUACUAUACCAGCUACUAUACCUGCCUACUAUACCUGCCGUACUAUACCAGCUACUAUACCUGCCCGUAAACACGAUUUCUACGGGCAUGUUGUCAAUCGCGUCAAUCGUGUUUAUGUGCAUGCAUGCAUGCAUGCAUGGCAACCGCUUCAAUGGUAGAGCGUAAGCCUCCCUUCCAUGGCUCCUUUCCUGCUUUCCUCGACACCUGCGCCAUUGGUCAGCCCUUGCCUACCGGCACCCUUGGACUUCCGCCUCGUCUCAUCGUGUAGGCUCGUCGAACGCCUCUGGGGGGUAACGGAUGGUGUUUGUAACGCAUACACACCUGUGUAUAUGCACAUGUGCAUGAUAUCCAUCCAAUCGAACAUCCUGCCUCCAGUCCGCAUUAAGAUUCAGGAGGACAAGUGUGCCUGCUGUUACAACAAGCCUUAUUAUGAGACUAAUCUGAUAUUGCGGGGUUUGGCUGCACCGCGGUAGGUCACCGACCCACAGCUGUCCCUGUGGUUGAUGUUCUGAGCCUCUUCCUCUAUUGAAGGGACUCCCUUACCAUUGCGUGAAUACAAUCUUGUGUCACGAGUUGUGCUAUUGUAAUAAUUUGCAGGCCGCAGCGUUUGCAGCUUUUGCUCGCUGCCGCCGCCGAACGAACGGCAUUUCAUCAUUUUGCAUCAUAUCCGUAGGAUAGUUACAGCUCGAAGGACGGCGGAGCCGCACUAACAUGGUAUGAAACCUUGCAGAUGUGUCAUCGAUCGUCCGCCCCUCAGGUCAAGGUUUGGGUUUCAUGGACGGCCGGGAGCAGGGACGCCAUCAUCAGGGUAGAGCUCAGAAACUCAGGAUGGAACCGAGCGAAUGCAUAAUGAACUGCAAUUCAUAGAACACAUAUGUGUGUACCAGGUAAGCAUAUCCAUACAAUGCUCCGAGCCGGGGGGUGUUUUUCCAAGCAAGGUAAGGCGCAACAGCAACUAUCUUGAUGUCAAAAAUCUUACAGUCUGGUGAAGUUCUUGUGCUAGUAUGGCUUGACUGACGUUUUCCUUUCGCCUUUCCUUUUCUUCUUUCCUUUGCUAGGGUAAGGCGGUUCACGAGCCUUUGGUUCAUGACCAGAAACAAAAUGAAACAUGCUAUUUGCUCAAGUUCACGUUCGUUGACCCUGAGUAUGACUUAUCCAGAUCGCCCUAGGUGUGCCUGCAACGUUACCAUUCUUCUACAACCUUAGUUGUUGCGGACGAAAGCUCUCGCGAAACUUAACAAAAAAAUUAUUUUUACUUUUACAGAUAAACUGCGUUAUGACAUAACGAUAUCGUUUGCGAUAUCGUUUUCACAUAACGGUUAUGUGAAAACGAUAUCGCAAACGAUAUGAUCUUGUGUUGACGCUUCGUGUGACAGGCCCUUGGAAACAGGAAAGGCUUCCAGAUACAUCCAAUACAUAUAAUACGGUUUGGCAUAAUCAUGCAUAUAUAAGCUUUUCACUGGAAAAUGUCAAACGACGAAAGUCGCAACCAGGCGCAAUAGGGCUGUAACUAUCUUGGGCAACUGUAACAGCAGCUGAAACGGAUACAGGGUGGGUAAAUUGCAGUUAGAGUUAGUGUAUUUCAGACAGGUGCCGGCCAUCAUGGGCGGACCUCGAGACCGAGCCGACGUAUAUUGCGGCAACAGCACAGCCACCAUGCGCGCCCUCAUUACGGGAGGCAGCGGCUAUCUGGGAUUUCGCCUUGGGACCGAGCUCGCCAAGCAAGGCAUCGAGGUGGUACUUCUGGACAUCGCCCGCCCCGCACAGGCUCUGCCUGCCGGCGUGCAUUUUUUUCCUGGCAGCGUCGCCGAUGCAGCCGCGGUCGAUGCAGCAUUUACCUCUUUGCCCGGGUCCAUAGAUGCAGUCUUCCACGUCGCAUCGUACGGGAUGUCAGGGCGGGAGCUCCGAGACCGCUCCAAAAUCUUCUCCGUUAACGUUGGUGGGACACGCAAUGUGAUUUCAUCUUGCUUACGCUACGGCGUGCCCCGGCUGGUCUACGUGUCUACCUGCAACGUGAUCUUCGUGGGCAAGUGAGAACGCGUGUCAUCAGCAAACGCAAAAAAGGGGGACCCGUUGAGGGCAUGAGCCCGCCCCGUGCAUGUUUGUGUGUCAAGCAUAAAAGCCAUAACUAGGUUAGGCACUACUGGUAAGGCACGGACCAUUGACCCCGGGAGAUCCCGGGAUUGAGACCUGUCAGGGUCGAAAAUCCUACCGAUGGUGGAAGGUAAAGUGCCCCUAGUUGAUGGUGGUGACCUGGGAUAAAAGAAACCUGCGAGCCGACCAGGAAUGGAGUUGGGCCGCCGUCGAUCCUGCAGAUUCCGUUGGAUGCUGGUGGUGGGUGUGGAACCUGAGCGAUCCACUGAGAAGUUGGCUAGGGUGACUGGAUGAGGGUGCCCCGAAAUACCGGGG
RNAcentral lists this long non-coding RNA (3649 nucleotides) under Volvox carteri. RNAcentral describes it as "long non-coding RNA (VCAR_LNC003319)". The record is from RNAcentral. Lineage: Eukaryota; Viridiplantae; Chlorophyta; Chlorophyceae; Chlamydomonadales; Volvocaceae.